GACAGAGGUCCCAAGCGUUAGGCGGAAUCACUGGGCUUAAAGCGUGUGUAGGCGGAUGCCUAAGUACCUUGUGAAAUCCCACGGCUCACCCGUGGAACUGCUUGGUAUACUGGGUGUCUUGAGCCACUUAGGGGCUACCGGAACAAAUGGUGGAGCGGUGAAAUGCGUAGAUAUCAUUUGGAACGCCAAUGGUGAAAACAGGUAGCUGGGAGUGUGCUGACGCUGAGACACGAAAGCCAGGGGAGCAAACGGG
This 253-nucleotide ribosomal RNA is filed under the name uncultured bacterium. RNAcentral describes it as "partial 16S ribosomal RNA". It matches the Rfam family "Bacterial small subunit ribosomal RNA", at positions 524 to 776 of the family's 1533-position model. The record is from RNAcentral.